Molecule: non-coding RNA, 3976 nt
Organism: Varroa destructor (honeybee mite)
Lineage: Eukaryota; Metazoa; Arthropoda; Arachnida; Mesostigmata; Varroidae
Source: RefSeq, a predicted model, not a curated record
UUCGCUAUUCGGCCUCUUUGCGUACAUCCCGUUGUGCAUUUUUAGUACACAAAUAGGUUCGACCUGUUUGCGCUAUAGGUUUGCCGCCAUUUUGCAGAGUCCUAAUUGGCGGGGUUAGCCGCUUUGCUCCAACUCAUCUGCCUCUGUAUAGGCAGGCCACACAAAAGGCUUCGCGAAUUUAGCGCUACUCUAAAUUCGACUUUUUUUCCGACGAUAACGGAGCGGGGGAGCAGAGUCCAGUCGACUAAAAGCGGUGGAAGAAAGCAAACCCCAGAGUCGUCCAGGUUGACGAACUGUUUACUGUUAGCCAUCUCUGGGUAAUGGCUGGGUAGUGAAAACUAGUAUUUAACUAGAGUCUUCAGGUCCAAGUCGGCUCCACAGGCGAAAGGCGAAUUUUGCAGCAGCAGCAGCAGCAACCGAAGGGUACUGAAGGGUGGAAAUUGAGUUGCUCAGCGGUGCAGUACUAUCGAGUCGCCAGACGAGGCGAUCGAGUAGACUACUAGCUAUGAGGCCUGUUUGACUUUCUUGGCCAUUGCUUCUAUUGCCGGCACAGCUACUGCUGCUAUCAUAAGGGAGAGUAGCUAGACGUACCCAGUCAACAAUCAGGAACUGCAUUACGCAACCACGGGUACCCCUUUUAUCCCCCGGCGCGCGACCCAUGCAGCUGAUUCUAUUCUUUAUCUCUCUUGGCAACGGCGGUGUUUGGCUACUAGCCGAUAGCUCGUCUGCAAUCCACAAGGUGUACUCUGGCUAUUUCAUCUCGUUCACUGUCGGCUACCAUCUGUAGAGGCCAAUGGCUAAAAGGGUCUUGCUUCUGACCUACAAAUGUUGACACGACGCGUUGGAAGCGUGGGCGGACAGUGAAGUGGCUUCAAGUGAGUGACCGGUAUGCGGCUGCGAGGUCUGCGCGUCGCAGAUAACAGAACCGGACUCACUCGUAACAAUGCAACGGAACGCAAUAGAGGCAAUGUAGAGGAGCUAACAAAGGUUGCGGAUGGCCUGCAAGCAAAGAACAGGCCCUUACAGGCAGCUGAUGGCCCUGUGAACCGUCGGGGCCAAAUUCUGUGCAAGUUUUUGUUUUUUCGCCGACAGCGACGUUAUUUUAGCUCCAGCAGUGCCGCGAACGGUGCUGCUAACGAGCAGAAUACAUCGAGAAUAAUCAAAGCUAAUACUGUUCGACGAGGCUCACAGAUGGAUAGCUUGGAUCAUUCGGCUAAAAAUAUUUCUGGCGUCGUACGCGGCCCGCUUUACGGUAGAGAGAGGGCGCGUCGCUGUUCAUGUAGCUGGUUGUUUCGAUGCUGGUCAGGUUUUUUUCGUAAGCUCGGCGAAGUUUGUUCGUGUUCUUGCCGUAGACGUCGUCAAUAUGCAGAUGCUUUUGGACAAGACUCUUCGUAUAGCUCUGCUAUAUCUCCUGGUAUAUUACGAACAAUUGCAAGUUAUCAGUUAAAAGUCCAAGGCGCACCUACAAGUUCCCUUUCUUACGCCGCUUCUAAAGGUUUGCCAAGCCAAAGGGGUGGUCUCGUCAUUAUGGAACCACUCGACAAUUUUUACUUCUCUUACGAAACCUCAGUAGAAGGGCCGCACCUUGAAAACGAGUGCCAUCUUCGCCGCAAAUGCAAAGUUUGUACACGCGUGUUCCGCGAAACGCGAGAAUCGACCGUACCGUACGAAUGUCCGGAGCGGUGUCUUUUCUUUGCUGAAAGCACGAAGCUACCAGUUCUCGUACGUAAUAUAUAGCCUAUUUUACUUCGAGUGGGCCAACAUUAACCGGAAGAAAGCUGGUCUAAACCGACUAAGUAGGCCGUCAAGGAUACACCGAAUAAAAAUGCCGAAUGUCGCAAACGCCAGACGUCUGGUCAUGGUAUCAAAAAUUGAUAUCAUGCAAGACGAGUCGAUCUACGAAGAUGAAACGCGUGGGGAAGACGGCUGUAAGAGAUAAUCAAAAAGUAUAUUCUACUAAAUUACCAUGUGUCACAGAAAUUGGCCUACCUAUUGCGAUAACUUCCGAAACAUUUUCCCGAAAUGGCUAACUGCGAACAAUUUUAAGUUAGACGGCAUAGAAAGGAGCGACAAUCGAGCUUUUGAACAACGGCAAACAAGAAUAAAGUAACAACAAGUUUUCUCAAGACUCUGUGUAAGGAAGGAGUGCGAAAAUAUAACCGAACUACGUGUUGAUACUGCCGUAGUGGUAGUAGGCUUGAAAUCCAAAAAGACAACGGGAUCUUGCCUAUGCCCCUUGCACUUUGGUAAAACAACGGAAAAAUAGGGGCUGUAAUAGCGGAAGCGGCUUCACUUGUGCACCCUGAACGGGCUUGGCAAUGUAGGUGACUCCAUUAUGUAUAUUAUAAAUAGAUGCGGUGGUCCUACAAUAGCGAAUACCAUAGUCAUCAACUAACGGUGCUUUGUGUGUAGUCACUACGCCGACCAGAUCAAUGUAGUGGGGUUGAAGAAGAGCUAGGAUUUAUAAGGGAAAAGGCUGGAUAAAGGUGGUGGCGGUACAAGAAACUGGAGCCGGUCGCCAAUUUUGCUGCUGCUGCUGCUGCUGCUGUUACUGUUUUUCAGCCGGGGCAGUCGUUCAGAUAGACGAUCAAGACCGACCGGUUGCUUCCGCUGGUACUUCCGUUGGUUUACUAUGUAACAGGAUAAAGUAAGACCGAAGAGAAGUUGCACAGAGGCCGUGGUCCUGUUUGUGGUACGAGAAUAAGUGGAUCGGACCACAAACAGAUAGUAGUGAAUUCGAGCAGAACGCCGUCACACUUACGGGUACUGAGAACAUUGAUUCAGCAAGGACUGCCGAGACAGGGAGUACUGCUAGUUGGCUGCUUGGUCUCAUGGGAUCUAAAGCGAGGAUCGACUUUGCUGUUUCCGCCGCUUUUCUGCACGUUCGGCAUCGUAUGGCCCGUUUGUGCCUUGUGAUUGCCGGCCUACUCCACGUCGAUAGUUCACAACUCGGUCCUGUCAAAAGAAACUGGAAGAUUCUAUUCUAUACGAAGUUGUUAAAAAGACGGCGAGAGGAACGCAACAGUGGGUGUGGUGUGUGCAAAUGGAGACUUCAAAAUAGUACAGUAGCACGAUGGCAGGGUUGCGCCGCUGGUUUCCGAUGUGUCCAUUGAGCUGUUGGUUAUUAUAUCGACAAAUUCGGAAGAAAGUCGAAAGCGACAAGGAAAGACGAACCGAAUAAGGCGCGGCGGGAAAAAGAACAGCACGAUAAGGACCAAAAGUUUUAGCUGUCUUAUGCUUUUAGGGACGUGGCAGUGCUCCUCCAUUGUACACCUUCAGGGUAUCGCUACAUGAUAGAGCACGGCGACCAGCAACGGAGUGAGUUUGUCAAGCGGUCGCAGUCACAACGUAGAAGCUGACUCCUCCUCAAUUGCGCACUACGAGUGUUGCUAAGCGAUCGGACGCGAAGAAAAGACUUCUGCCGUACAAGCACGCAACCAAAAGUGCACGCCGAACGCGUGUAGUAUCCUGCGUGCACGUUUGCCUGUGUGCUACAUUACGCGCGAGUUACAUCAUUACGUCAUAGUUGCGUGGUUUUUCAGAAUUGCGUCUUCAUACAAUGUAAAUUGACCCGUGGUGGAAACGACGGGAUUUCACGCCUGGAGCGUAUAAAGAAUGUUAUUUCGACUUAACCGAUAGAGCGCUAUGGUUGCUAUGCCACAGUCUACUGCUUACGUCUUUGUUUUCCCAUUGCCAAUCGCAAAUACAGGCCGGUAAUUGACAUCGAGGACCUUCGAGCUCUUCUACAGCUAUUUAUGUGAGAGACGACUAUUUUCGAUAUUCAAAACAGCAUAAGCUUCAGCGAAACGAGAAAUGUUUGUCUUUAUUAAUAUAAGCGUUGGAUUCUUUCGCUUUGCUAAUACGCAUCCUUGGUAGAGAGGACAUAGUUCAUGGCCUGCCUAAGUUGGCUUAUGUCAACCUUGUGUAUAAGGACAAUUAAUUUACGUGUUAAUUUGUUUGGAAUCAAAAAAAUCCU